Astyanax mexicanus (Mexican tetra) is the source of this 155-nucleotide long non-coding RNA. RefSeq lists it as uncharacterized. The transcript has 2 exons. The record is from RefSeq and is a predicted model, not a curated record. NCBI's taxonomy places the organism in Eukaryota, Metazoa, Chordata, Actinopteri, Characiformes, Acestrorhamphidae.
GGCAACAUAAAUUCAGUAGAAGUUCCCUCCUUAUCUUUGGUCUCAGGGGACGGGUCAACCUCCCUCACUUUCAAGGUCUAACUAACCACAGAUGGCUACACAUGUGUUGUGAAACAUUCCUGUACAAACUCAAUUAAACUACAUUUGUUAUAUGA